RNAcentral lists this ribosomal RNA (149 nucleotides) under uncultured bacterium. RNAcentral describes it as "partial 16S ribosomal RNA". It matches the Rfam family "Bacterial small subunit ribosomal RNA", at positions 1354 to 1500 of the family's 1533-position model. The record is from RNAcentral.
AUACUGCCGUGAAUACGUUCCCGGGCCUUGUACACACCGCCCGUCACACCAUGAGAGUUGGGGAUACCCGAAGCCUGUGAGCCAACAAUAUAUUGAGGCAGCAGUCGAAGGUAGAAUCAAUGAUUGGGGUGAAGUCGUAACAAGGUAUC